CUCUAAUAAUAACACUGGCCCAGUUGGAGUGAGAGUUCAGGGCACAUUAAGAAGAGAUGUGCUGCUGCCAGUGGGCCAAGCUUCAGAAAGAGUGCAGUAGAUAUUUCCUGUACAUUCUUAUUGUGCCGUCUUUCAGCGUUGCAUGCACUUUGUCUGGCAUACCACAAUCUGUCAGUGUGACACAAGCCCAGCCUGGCGGCAUUAGAUAAUCCACCCCGGUUACCGAUGGCCCAUUCAUUGCCGACUCAUUUAUUGACUCACUAACCCCCUGCAGAGGUGUCUGACCAAGCAUUACACAUCCCACUCCAGUACACAUUAUACUGGGUCAUAGUAUUCAGCUGGUAUUUGUCCAUAUCUGGUGUUUUAUGAUCAGCAUUACCAUCAACCAUCUUCAUUCAGCAGGCAGACCGGCAGCUCAUUAAAAGAUGUAACGGUUAACUUGAUGGUAAUCUGCUCCUGAUGAAAAAGAAGGUGGGCAGCCAUAAAACUCUCAUUACUGUUUAAAUCUAUUUGUGCCCCCUCCCCUCACCUAUAACAGAUCAAAUCCGUCUCGAAAGACAAAAGCUGGCUCAGAUUUCAUGACGUAAAAAAACAAAACAGCAAUGCUUUUUUCUUUUUUUAAAGACGAGAGCGCUGCGUUCAUCUUGAACUCACUGAACUUGCAAACCCAAUUUAACGCAUCCCGGGGAGAGGAGGCAUCGAGGAACAUCUGGUGAGGACCAAACUCCCUCCAAACCCUUCUGCUGUCUUUCAAAGCGGAUCUUCGAGGGUCUUCAACAUCUGACGCCUGCUGCCAUUCUGCUUUGAGGAGUCGACACGGGAAAUGUCCUCACUUCAUUCCACAACACAAGAAUCUAUGCAAGGGAAUGUAUUGUUGGGAAGGCUGUGGAGCCACGGACUCAGCAUCCCAAAUGGAGAUAGUUAGACAGCUCUUUCCUCCCCCCAUCCCCCACACUCCUUCCUGCCCCUGUUGCAAUGGAAAUGAACACGCAUGUAAUGAAGUUGAUUUUUUUUUUUUGGAUGUUUUUGCAUAAACGCACAAGAAACUGGCUGCUCUGUGUGUUGGUGUGUGAAUUUGUGUGUGUGUGUGCCUGCUGAUUGGUCCUUUCACUGAACAUAAAAAAAAACAAACAAACAGUGUGCACCAGUGAUGAAGUGACCUUUACCCGCGUAGACUACUGUGUUGCCCUUUGGUGUUGCUAGAAAUCUGCUUGAAAAUAAUUUAUUUCCUCAGCAUCUAUUUGGUUUGUCAGUUUGGAAAAAGUAUUAGUUGGUCUCAAUUUUUUUGUAAAUCUGUUGUUAAAGAAAAAGAGCAAAUGAGUAAUGUAAGAUAAAUGACAAUAAAAGAUCAUUAGCUAGGUUGUUACUUUCAGAUGCCUCCUCAGUUGUAUUUCUUCCACCCAUUGCCCUGUUAGUCAUGUUUACCCUUUUCACUCUUGAUUGCAGUUAAGAGCCAGUUAAUCUCUCUGGUGAACUGAACCCAACUUCUAAUUCACAGCAAGAAAGUGAGCAGUUACACUCACUGGUCACUUUAUUAGGUAUAGCUUUUCAACUGCUUGUUAGUUCAAAUAUCUAAUCAGCCAAUCACUUGGCAGCCACUCAUUGCAUAUUAGUCAUGCAGACAUGUUCAAGGUGACCUCCUGAGAGCAGCUUCAAAUCGAGCAUCAGAAUAAGGAAGAAAGGUACUUAAAAUUAGUGAUGCUGCUGGUGCCAGACAGGCUGGCAAGAGUAUUUUUAGACACUGCCGAUCUGAAAUUUUCCCACACAACCAUCUCUGGGGUUUAUAGAGCCUGGACCAAAAAAGAAAAAACAUGCAGUGAGCUGUAGUUCUCUGGAUGAGAAUACCUUCUUGAUGUCAAAGGUCAGAAGAAAAACGCAAGACUGCUUGAAGCAGCCACUACAACUAGGGUAUGCAGAAGAGCAUCUCCUAAUGUACAACUCAUCCAACUCUGGAGUAGAUGGGCGGCAGCAGCAGAAGACCACACCGAGUGUCACUUGUGUCAGCAAAGAAUAGAAAACUGAAGUUACAGAUCACGUGGGCUCAACAUGGUUUGACACUCAACGAGGAAGUUCACUGUACUCAAUGACCUCCACAGUCACCACAUCUCAAACCAAUAGAGCAGCUCUGACAUGUGGUGGAACAGGAGAUUCACAUCAUGGAUGUACAGCCGACAAACCUGCAGUAACUAUGUGAUGUUGUCGUGUCAAUAUGGCCCAAAAUCUCAGAGGAAUGUUUCCAGCACCUCGUUGAAAAAGUUGGUAAAACCCAGAAUGAACCUAAUAAAGUGGCUUUUAAGAGUGUAUAUAAAAAGAGUCAAAUCAGUCCUUUAAAAUAAUAUUAUUGUGGACAGUCCAGACAAACACUGAGCAUAUUUACAUUAGUCUCACUAAUAACCAUUUAAAAACUUGCAGAGGUGUGUAAUUUGAGAAACUAGCUGUUUACUUGAUAAGUAGCCUGUAACAGGCACCUGUGUCACUAACCUGGGUUCAGCACACUGUUCAUGUA
Astatotilapia calliptera (eastern happy) is the source of this 2506-nucleotide long non-coding RNA. NCBI's taxonomy places the organism in Eukaryota, Metazoa, Chordata, Actinopteri, Cichliformes, Cichlidae. The record is from Ensembl.